This 253-nucleotide ribosomal RNA is filed under the name uncultured bacterium. Its description in RNAcentral is "partial 16S ribosomal RNA". It matches the Rfam family "Bacterial small subunit ribosomal RNA", at positions 524 to 776 of the family's 1533-position model. The record is from RNAcentral.
UACGUAGGGGGCAAGCGUUGUCCGGAUUUAUUGGGCGUAAAGAGCGUGUAGGCGGCCUGACAGGUCUGCUGUGAAAACUCGAGGCUCAACCUCGAGAUGUCGGCGGAAACCGUCUGGCUAGAGUCCGGAAGAGGAGAGUGGAAUUCCUGGUGUAGCGGUGAAAUGCGCAGAUAUCAGGAGGAACACCAGCGGCGAAGGCGGCGCUCUGGGCCGGUACUGACACUGAGGAGCGAAAGCGUGGGUAGCAAACAGG